Molecule: ribosomal RNA, 594 nt
Filed under: Gelidium pluma
Lineage: Eukaryota; Rhodophyta; Florideophyceae; Gelidiales; Gelidiaceae
Description: eukaryotic LSU rRNA
Rfam family: Eukaryotic large subunit ribosomal RNA
Source: RNAcentral
AACAACUCACCUGCCGAAUGAAUUAGCCCUGAAAAUGGAUGGCGCUUAAGCGGGUGACCGACACCAUGCCGUCUGAAUGAUAAAUUUCAGAUGAGUAGGAGGACGUGGUGAUCGUGACGAAGUAUGCGUGCGAACGCGUAUCGAACGAUCACUAGUGCAGAUCUUGGUGGUAGUAGCAAAUAUUCAAGCGAGAUCCUUGAAGGGCGAAGUGGGGAAGGGUUCCACGCUAACAUUGAUUGGGCGUGGGUGAGUCGUUCCUAAGCCGAGUGGCAAUUGCUAAGUAGCGGCGAAAGGGAAGCGGGUUUACAUUCCCGCACACGGAUGUGGAGGCGGUGACGCUUUAUUGGGGCGAACACGCUGGCGAUGGCGCUGGGCAGAGUUGUCUUUUCUGUUUGACCGUUUGCGCAUGCGGUGUGGAGUCCGCUUGUCGGGAGAAACACGCAUACGCGGGCAGAGCGCCGGGGCUUAUCCGGCGUCCAGCUCGCCAUCGACGGCCCUUGAAACUUUGCCUGCUGGUUUUAGAAUCCACGCCGUGGCGUACCGAUCACCGCAUCAGGUCCCCAAGGUGAACAGCCUCUGCUCAAUAUGAAAAAU